UCCCGAUGAGGAAGCAGACCCAAUUGAUAGGAAGUGCCGUAUGACACUUAUAAACAGCAGCGGUAAC
This is a non-coding RNA of Citrus sinensis (sweet orange), 67 nucleotides long. The record is from Rfam. Lineage: Eukaryota; Viridiplantae; Streptophyta; Magnoliopsida; Sapindales; Rutaceae.